CAAUCGGUUUUUUUCAAAACCAAAAAUAGUCUAGAGAAUAUCGUCG
Octopus bimaculoides (California two-spot octopus) is the source of this 46-nucleotide non-coding RNA. Lineage: Eukaryota; Metazoa; Mollusca; Cephalopoda; Octopoda; Octopodidae. The record is from Rfam.